AGUGAACGCUGGCGGUAGGCCUAACACAUGCAAGUCGAACGGCAGCACAGGAGAGCUUGCUCUCUGGGUGGCGAGUAGCGGACGGGUGAGGAAUACAUCGGAAUCUGCCCAGUCGUGGGGGAUAACGUAGGGAAACUUACGCUAAUACCGCAUACGACCUUCGGGUGAAAGAGGGGGAUCGCAAGACCUCUCGCGAUUGGAUGAGCCGAUGUCGGAUUAGCUAGUUGGCGGGGUAAUGGCCCACCAAGGCGACGAUCCGUAGCUGGUCUGAGAGGAUGAUCAGCCACACUGGAACUGAGACACGGUCCAGACUCCUACGGGAGGCAGCAGUGGGGAAUAUUGGACAAUGGGCGCAAGCCUGAUCCAGCCAUACCGCGUGGGUGAAGAAGGCCUUCGGGUUGUAAAGCCCUUUUGUUGGGAAAGAAAUCUUUCAGGCUAAUACCCUGGGAGGAUGACGGUACCCAAAGAAUAAGCACCGGCUAACUUCGUG
This 490-nucleotide ribosomal RNA is filed under the name uncultured bacterium. RNAcentral describes it as "partial 16S ribosomal RNA". It matches the Rfam family "Bacterial small subunit ribosomal RNA", at positions 29 to 507 of the family's 1533-position model. The record is from RNAcentral.